UACGUAGGUGACAAGCGUUGUCCGGAUUUACUGGGCGUAAAGAGCGCGCAGGCGGUCGAUCAAGUCGAGUGUGAAAGCCCCCGGCUCAACUGGGGAGGGUCAUUCGAUACUGAUCGACUCGAAGGCAGGAGAGGGUAGUGGAAUUCCCAGUGUAGUGGUGAAAUGCGUAGAUAUCGGGAGGAACACCAGUGGCGAAGGCGACUACCUGGCCUGUUCUUGACGCUGAGGCGCGAAAGCUAGGGGAGCAAACGGG
Molecule: ribosomal RNA, 253 nt
Filed under: uncultured bacterium
Lineage: Bacteria
Description: partial 16S ribosomal RNA
Rfam family: Bacterial small subunit ribosomal RNA
Source: RNAcentral